AUUGAACGCUGGCGGCAGGCCUAACACAUGCAAGUCGAGCGGAUGAAGGGAGCUUGCUCCUGGAUUCAGCGGCGGACGGGUGAGUAAUGCCUAGGAAUCUGCCUGGUAGUGGGGGAUAACGUCCGGAAACGGGCGCUAAUACCGCAUACGUCCUGAGGGAGAAAGUGGGGGAUCUUCGGACCUCACGCUAUCAGAUGAGCCUAGGUCGGAUUAGCUAGUUGGUGGGGUAAAGGCCUACCCAGGCGACGAUCCGUAACCGGUCUGAGAGGAUGAUCAGUCACACUGGAACUGAGACACGGUCCAGACUCCUACGGGAGGCAGCAGUGGGGAAUAUUGGACAAUGGGCGAAAGCCUGAUCCAGCCAUGCCGCGUGUGUGAAGAAGGUCUUCGGAUUGUAAAGCACUUUAAGUUGGGAGGAAGGGCAGUAAGUUAAUACCUUGCUGUUUUGACGUUACCAACAGAAUAAGCACCGGCUAACUUCGUG
RNAcentral lists this ribosomal RNA (484 nucleotides) under uncultured bacterium. Its description in RNAcentral is "partial 16S ribosomal RNA". It matches the Rfam family "Bacterial small subunit ribosomal RNA", at positions 30 to 507 of the family's 1533-position model. The record is from RNAcentral.